UUCCGGUUGAUCCUGCCGGACCCUACUGCUAUCGGGGUGGGACUAAAACAUGCAAGUCGAGCGUCUCCAAGCCAUGGUGGAGGCGCGGCGUACGGCUCAGUAACACGUGGCUAACCUACCCUUGGGACGGGGACAACCCCGGGAAACUGGGGCUAAUCCCCGAUAGGUGAGGAGGCCUGGAAUGGUUCUUCGCUGAAAAGGCGUUGAAACCAUGCUUUUCAACGUCGCCUAAGGAUGGGGCCGCGCCCGAUCAGGUUGUUGGUGGGGUAACGGCUCACCAAGCCUAUAACCGGUACGGGCCGUGAGAGCGGGAGCCCGGAGAUGGGCACUGAGACAAGGGCCCAGGCCCUACGGGGCGCAGCAGUCGCGAAAACUCCGCAAUACGCGAAAGCGUGACGGGGCUAUCCCGAGUGCCAUCCGCUGAGGAUGGCUUUUCCCCAGUGUAUAAAGCUGGGGGAAUAAGGAGAGGGCAAGACUGGUGUCAGCCGCCGCGGUAAUACCAGCUCUCCGAGUGGUGGGGAUGCUUAUUGGGCCUAAAGCAUCCGUAGCUGGUUGGGCAAGUUCUCCGUUAAAUCCAACGAUUCAAUCGUUGGGCUGCGGGGGAUACUGCCCGGCUAGGGGGCGGGAGAGGCCGACGGUAUUCUCGGGGUAGGGGUGAAAUCCUAUAAUCCCGGGAGGACCACCAGUGGCGAAGGCUGUCGGCUAGAACGCGCCCGACGGUGAGGGAUGAAAGCUGGGGGAGCGAACCGGAUUAGAUACCCGGGUAGUCCCAGCUGUAAACGAUGCAGGCUAGGUGUUGGCGCGGCUACGUGCCGCUCUAGUGCCGCAGGGAAGCCGUUAAGCCUGCCGCCUGGGAAGUACGGCCGCAAGGCUGAAACUUAAAGGAAUUGGCGGGGGAGCAC
RNAcentral lists this ribosomal RNA (902 nucleotides) under uncultured archaeon. RNAcentral describes it as "bacterial SSU rRNA". It matches the Rfam family "Archaeal small subunit ribosomal RNA", at positions 1 to 879 of the family's 1478-position model. The record is from RNAcentral.